CCAGCUCCAAUAGCGUAUAUUAAAGUCGUUGCAGUUAAAAAGCUCGUAGUUGGAUUUCUGCCGGGAGCGUCAUGUCUUUCGCCUUGUGCGACUGAACGUUGUCGUCUUUUGGCAUCCUUGCGGAGAUGCGUUUUGGCAUUAAGUUGUCGGGGCGUGGAUUCGCAUCGUUUACUGUGAUGAAAUUAGAGUGUUUAAAGCAGGCAAUUGCUGUGAAUACAUUAGCAUGGAAUAAUAAGAUAGGACUUGUUGCUAUUUUGUUGGUUUGCACGACAAGUAAUGAUUAACGGGAACAGUUGGGAGUAUUCGUAUUUAAUUGUCAGAGGUGAAAUUCUUGGAUUUAUGAAAGACGAACAAUUGCGAAAGCAUUUACUAAGGAUGUUUUCAUUA
This 387-nucleotide ribosomal RNA is filed under the name Labyrinthulaceae sp. RNAcentral's name for it is "partial small subunit ribosomal RNA". It matches the Rfam family "Eukaryotic small subunit ribosomal RNA", at positions 585 to 975 of the family's 1831-position model. The record is from RNAcentral. Lineage: Eukaryota; Bigyra; Labyrinthulida; Labyrinthulaceae.